AGUCAAGUAAUUAAGUGCAUGUGGUGGAUGCCUUGGCAGUCAGAGGCGAUGAAAGACGUGAUAGCCUGCGAAAAGCUCCGGGGAGGCGGCAAAUAUCCUUUGAUCCGGAGAUGUCUGAAUGGGGGAACCCACCUACUUUAAGGUAGGUAUUGCAACAUGAAUACAUAGUGUUGCAAGGCGAACGAGGGGAAGUGAAACAUCUCAGUACCCUUAGGAAAAGAAAUCAAUUGAGAUUCCCUCAGUAGCGGCGAGCGAACGGGGAUCAGCCCAUUAAGUUAUGUGUGUUUUAGUGGAACGCUCUGGGAAGUGCGAACGUAGAGGGUGAUAUUCCCGUACACGAAAGGGCACACAUAAUGAUGACGAGUAGGGCGAGGCACGUGAAACCUUGUCUGAAUAUGGGGGGACCAUCCUCCAAGGCUAAAUACUCCUGACUGACCGAUAGUGAACCAGUACCGUGAGGGAAAGGCGAAAAGAACCCCUGUGAGGGGAGUGAAAUAGAUCCUGAAACCGCAUGCAUACAAGCAGUGGGAGCACCUUCGUGGUGUGACUGCGUACCUUUUGUAUAAUGGGUCAGCGACUUAUAUUCAGUAGCAAGGUUAACCGUAUAGGGGAGCCGUAGAGAAAUCGAGUCUUAAUAGGGCGUUUAGUUGCUGGGUAUAGACCCGAAACCAGGCGAUCUAUCCAUGAGCAGGUUGAAGGUUGGGUAACACUAACUGGAGGACCGAACCCACUGUCGUUGAAAAGCCAGGGGAUGACUUGUGGAUAGGGGUGAAAGGCUAAUCAAGCCUGGUGAUAGCUGGUUCUCCCCGAAAGCUAUUUAGGUAGCGCCUCGGACGAAUACCAUAGGGGGUAGAGCACUGUUUCGGCUAGGGGGUCAUCCCGACUUACCAAACCGAUGCAAACUCCGAAUACCUAUGAGUACUAUCCGGGAGACAGACUGCGGGUGCUAACGUCCGUAGUCAAGAGGAAAACAAUCCAGACCGCCAGCUAAGGCCCCAAAAUCAUAGUUAAGUGGGAAACGAUGUGGGAAGGCAUAGACAGCUAGGAGGUUGGCUUAGAAGCAGCCACCCUUUAAAGAAAGCGUAA
Molecule: ribosomal RNA, 1086 nt
Filed under: Acinetobacter baumannii
Lineage: Bacteria; Pseudomonadati; Pseudomonadota; Gammaproteobacteria; Moraxellales; Moraxellaceae
Description: partial 23S ribosomal RNA
Rfam family: Bacterial large subunit ribosomal RNA
Source: RNAcentral